RNAcentral lists this ribosomal RNA (209 nucleotides) under Staphylococcus aureus. RNAcentral's name for it is "partial 23S ribosomal RNA". It matches the Rfam family "Bacterial large subunit ribosomal RNA", at positions 2711 to 2925 of the family's 2925-position model. Lineage: Bacteria; Bacillati; Bacillota; Bacilli; Caryophanales; Staphylococcaceae. The record is from RNAcentral.
GGUGUACCAGUUGUCGUGCCAACGGCAUAGCUGGGUAGCUAUGUGUGGACGGGAUAAGUGCUGAAAGCAUCUAAGCAUGAAGCCCCCCCUCAAGAUGAGAUUUCCCAACUUCGGUUAUAAGAUCCCUCAAAGAUGAUGAGGUUAAUAGGUUCGAGGUGGAAGCAUGGUGACAUGUGGAGCUGACGAAUACUAAUCGAUCGAAGACUUAA